UACAGAGGGGGCAAGCGUUGUUCGGAAUUACUGGGCGUAAAGGGCGCGUAGGCGGCCUGUCGCGUCGGCUGUGAAAACCCGGGGCUCAACCCCGGGCCUGCAGUCGAUACGGGCAGGCUAGAGUCCGGUAGGGGAGACUGGAAUUCCUGGUGUAGCGGUGAAAUGCGCAGAUAUCAGGAGGAACACCGGUGGCGAAGGCGGGUCUCUGGGCCGGAACUGACGCUAAGGAGCGAAAGCGUGGGGAGCGAACAGG
This 253-nucleotide ribosomal RNA is filed under the name uncultured bacterium. RNAcentral's name for it is "partial 16S ribosomal RNA". It matches the Rfam family "Bacterial small subunit ribosomal RNA", at positions 524 to 776 of the family's 1533-position model. The record is from RNAcentral.